RNAcentral lists this ribosomal RNA (890 nucleotides) under uncultured Bacillus sp. RNAcentral's name for it is "bacterial SSU rRNA". It matches the Rfam family "Bacterial small subunit ribosomal RNA", at positions 35 to 908 of the family's 1533-position model. Lineage: Bacteria; Bacillati; Bacillota; Bacilli; Caryophanales; Bacillaceae. The record is from RNAcentral.
GCGGGCGGGGUGCUAUACAUGCAAGUCGAGCGGACAGAUGGGAGCUUGCUCCCUGAUGUUAGCGGCGGACGGGUGAGUAACACGUGGGUAACCUGCCUGUAAGACUGGGAUAACUCCGGGAAACCGGGGCUAAUACCGGAUGCUUGUUUGAACCGCAUGGUUCAGACAUAAAAGGUGGCUUCGGCUACCACUUACAGAUGGACCCGCGGCGCAUUAGCUAGUUGGUGAGGUAACGGCUCACCAAGGCGACGAUGCGUAGCCGACCUGAGAGGGUGAUCGGCCACACUGGGACUGAGACACGGCCCAGACUCCUACGGGAGGCAGCAGUAGGGAAUCUUCCGCAAUGGACGAAAGUCUGACGGAGCAACGCCGCGUGAGUGAUGAAGGUUUUCGGAUCGUAAAGCUCUGUUGUUAGGGAAGAACAAGUGCCGUUCAAAUAGGGCGGCACCUUGACGGUACCUAACCAGAAAGCCACGGCUAACUACGUGCCAGCAGCCGCGGUAAUACGUAGGUGGCAAGCGUUGUCCGGAAUUAUUGGGCGUAAAGGGCUCGCAGGCGGUUUCUUAAGUCUGAUGUGAAAGCCCCCGGCUCAACCGGGGAGGGUCAUUGGAAACUGGGGAACUUGAGUGCAGAAGAGGAGAGUGGAAUUCCACGUGUAGCGGUGAAAUGCGUAGAGAUGUGGAGGAACACCAGUGGCGAAGGCGACUCUCUGGUCUGUAACUGACGCUGAGGAGCGAAAGCGUGGGGAGCGAACAGGAUUAGAUACCCUGGUAGUCCACGCCGUAAACGAUGAGUGCUAAGUGUUAGGGGGUUUCCGCCCCUUAGUGCUGCAGCUAACGCAUUAAGCACUCCGCCUGGGGAGUACGGUCGCAAGACUGAAACUCAAAUGA